Homarus americanus (American lobster) is the source of this 1260-nucleotide long non-coding RNA. RefSeq lists it as uncharacterized. The record is from RefSeq and is a predicted model, not a curated record. The transcript is spliced from 4 exons. NCBI's taxonomy places the organism in Eukaryota, Metazoa, Arthropoda, Malacostraca, Decapoda, Nephropidae.
GAUCUUUUAAUAUUUGAUGUGUCUGGCGGUGGACUCGAGAUGGUACAAGACUUUAUUACGACCAACGCUGACUUGAAGAAGCCUUAUAUGGUCAAGGUAAUCUUGUACCAGGAGCCAUCGGUGGUAGAUGAGGCAGAGUUGGCAAAUAACGCUAAGAGCUUCGGCUACACACAUCUCCCCAUCACCUCCGCGCACUUCCUCCUCCUGCACAACUCCCUCAACUUCGCUGUCAGUUGAAGUUCCUCCGCACCUUCUGUUACAUGGAAGACAAGAUCAAAACGAAUAUUGGCAAUACUUUGAGCAGCAUUCUCAUCUGGGAGGAAAUAUUGUUCACAAACAGCUCUCUCACUGCCAAGACCACCAACUUCUGGAAUACCUGACUGUAAAAUGUCCAACACUUGCUGCCUUCUUUUGACUACAGUAUGCACGAUAAUUUGAAUGUAAAUAAUGAUCUUAAUCAUUAAAUACACAGUAGCUACAAAACAUUCAGUUAAUUCCUGACAGCAUUCCAGUGUAGAUUCAGCCAUUAUAACCUCCCUUAUUCCACUUGGAUACAAUAUAUAUAUGUAUAUACUUACUCUAUAAAAUAUUUCACAUGCUCCUCUGAGGGAACUAAAUACUGUAGUAUAUUUAAGGUCUGAGAAUAAGAUUUUUAGUAUGGUAUUAAUAUUUUGUACAUUUUUAAGAUAUUUCCUAAGUGAAUCCUUUAAAGUACAGUACUGCCUUACCUUAUAGUCUUAUUCUAUACAUCCUGUAUUCUACUGUUCAUUGUGGAAUGGUUAUGCUAAUGUGUAAAUUUAAUAUGAAUAGUAUUGUAUAUCACAAUAUGGGCAUGGUCUCCCAGUAACACAGAAAACCUUCACACAUUACACUGCAUGCAAGCAAAAUGCUAAGUAGACAGGGAAAAAUACACAUUAAAAAUUGUUCUCUUCCCCUAAUACUGUACUACCUAAUUCUGCUCAGUUACCAUUUCAACUACUUAAUCUAAAAGUUAUUGAUUCUUCAAGAAAAUAAACUGGUAAAAAUAAUUAUCUACAUGUGAGUAACCUGGAGACAUUAAGAUACAAAUGUUGGAAAAUUUUUCAUGCAAGAUGUUUUAUGUACAGUAGCUAUAAAAAAAGGCUUAUAUAGAGAUAAAGGUGUAUGUCUAUAUUGGCAUUCCUUACAUAAUGUCUGUUCCCUUGGAUGUAUUUAAACUUGGAUCACACAAUGUUAUAGAACUAAAAAGACUAAAACUAUAAAAUUUCGUGAAAAUCAGGU